AUACGGAGGGUGCAAGCGUUAUCCGGAUUUACAGGGUUUAAAGGGUACGCAGGCGGUAAUUUAAGUCAGUGGUGAAAGCCUACAGCUCAACUGUAGAACUGCCAUUGAAACUGAAUUACUUGAGUAUGGUAGAGGUAGGCGGAAUACAACAUGUAGCGGUGAAAUGCAUAGAUAUGUUGUAGAACACCGAUUGCGAAGGCAGCUUACUAAACCAUUACUGACGCUCAUGUACGAAAGCGUGGGGAGCGAACAGGAUUAGAAACCCUAGUAGUCC
This 274-nucleotide ribosomal RNA is filed under the name uncultured bacterium. RNAcentral describes it as "partial 16S ribosomal RNA". It matches the Rfam family "Bacterial small subunit ribosomal RNA", at positions 523 to 796 of the family's 1533-position model. The record is from RNAcentral.